CGGGGAUGACAACGCUUAACGGUGUAUAUGGCUAGUCUGGGGGACUAGGGGUCGGAGGUUCGAAUCCUCUCGCUCCGACCA
Molecule: transfer RNA, 81 nt
Filed under: Methylobacterium sp. V23
Lineage: Bacteria; Pseudomonadati; Pseudomonadota; Alphaproteobacteria; Hyphomicrobiales; Methylobacteriaceae
Description: tRNA-Pro
Source: RNAcentral